This 512-nucleotide ribosomal RNA is filed under the name uncultured bacterium. Its description in RNAcentral is "bacterial SSU rRNA". It matches the Rfam family "Bacterial small subunit ribosomal RNA", at positions 15 to 518 of the family's 1533-position model. The record is from RNAcentral.
GAUCCUGGCUCAGGAUGAACGCUAGCUACAGGCUUAACACAUGCAAGUCGAGGGGCAGCAUGAUCUAGCUUGCUAAGAUUGAUGGCGACCGGCGCACGGGUGAGUAACGCGUAUCCAACCUUCCCUAUAGUAGAGGAUAGCCCGGCGAAAGUCGGAUUAAUACUCUAUGUUUUCCAAUGCAGACAUCUAAAAUGGAACAAAGGUUUACCGCUAUAGGAUGGGGAUGCGUCUGAUUAGGUUGUUGGCGGGUAACGGCCCACCAAGCCAUCGAUCAGUAGGGGUUCUGAGAGGAAGGUCCCCCACAUUGGAACUGAGACACGGUCCAAACUCCUACGGGAGGCAGCAGUGAGGAAUAUUGGUCAAUGGGCGAGAGCCUGAACCAGCCAAGUAGCGUGCAGGAAGACGGCCCUAUGGGUUGUAAACUGCUUUUAUACAGGGAUAAAGUUCGCCACGUGUGGCGUUUUGUAGGUACUGUAUGAAUAAGGACCGGCUAAUUCCGUGCCAGCAGCGGC